GUGGGGAAUAUUGGACAAUGGGCGAAAGCCUGAUCCAGCCAUGCCGCGUGUGUGAAGAAGGUCUUCGGAUUCUAAAGCACUUUAAGUUGGGAGGAAGGGCAGUAAGUUAAUACCUUGCUGUUUUGACGUUACCGACAGAAUAAGCACCGGCUAACUUCGUGCCAGCAGCCGCGGUAAUACGAAGGGUGCAAGCGUUAAUCGGAAUUACUGGGCGUAAAGCGCGCGUAGGUGGUUUUGUAAGUUGGAGGUGAAAUCCCCGGGCUCAACCUGGGAACUGCCUACAAAACUACUGAGCUAGAGUACGGUAGAGGGUAGUGGAAUUUCCUGUGUAGCGGUGAAAUGCGUAGAUAUAGGAAGGAACACCAGUGGCGAAGGCGACUACCUGGACUGAUACUGACACAGAGGUGCGAAAGCGUGGGGAGCAAACAGGAUUAGAUACCCGAGUAGUCC
Molecule: ribosomal RNA, 450 nt
Filed under: uncultured bacterium
Lineage: Bacteria
Description: partial 16S ribosomal RNA
Rfam family: Bacterial small subunit ribosomal RNA
Source: RNAcentral